GAGAUUCCCACUGUCCCU
RNAcentral lists this non-coding RNA (18 nucleotides) under Arabidopsis thaliana (thale cress). RNAcentral also lists the same sequence under 1 other name. The record is from RNAcentral. Lineage: Eukaryota; Viridiplantae; Streptophyta; Magnoliopsida; Brassicales; Brassicaceae.